This 4494-nucleotide unclassified non-coding RNA is filed under the name Ooceraea biroi (clonal raider ant). Its description in RNAcentral is "protein held out wings, transcript variant X4". The record is from RNAcentral. Lineage: Eukaryota; Metazoa; Arthropoda; Insecta; Hymenoptera; Formicidae.
UCCGUCCCUCCGCCCGCGCCGCCGCGUUCCUCCGGCUCUUUUCCUUUAACGCUCCUUCGUUAGUACGUCCUCCGCCGUCCGCGCGUGUUCUCCCGUCACCGGGGAGAGAACAGCUCCGCUGCCACACCGUCCGUCCGUCCGUCCAGCCGUGCCGCGCCACCACGCGCCUCGUCGUGGCCGCUCUCGCGCGCGCGUUCUCUUCCUCUCUCUCUUUCUUCCUCUCUCUCUCCCCGACGUCGUGUAUCAAACCGUGGUCGCGCGCGCGCGCGCCUAACAAGGCGCCAACCAUUCGCCAUUGAAGCAACCGAGUACAAUUUGCGAUGUGUGAUAAUACUAACACGACGACGCAGAGUAUAGCGGACUACCUGUCACAGUUGCUAAAGGACCGGAAGCAGCUGGCCGCCUUCCCAAAUGUCUUCAUACACGUGGAGCGUCUGCUGGACGAGGAAAUCGCGAAGGUGCGGGCGAGCCUUUUUCAAAUCAGCGGAGUGAAAAAGGAGCCACUGGUCCUGCCGGAGCCGGAGGGCGAAAUCACGACGCUCAUGGAAAAGGUCUAUGUACCUGUCAAGGAGCAUCCAGAUUUCAACUUUGUCGGGAGGAUUCUGGGGCCACGGGGUAUGACCGCGAAACAACUCGAGCAGGAGACAGGAUGUAAAAUCAUGGUCCGCGGCAAGGGGUCAAUGAGGGAUAAAAAGAAGGAGGAACAAAAUCGGGGCAAGCCAAAUUGGGAACACCUGACGGACGAAUUGCAUGUGCUGCUCACUGUCGAGGACACCGAGAAUCGUGCCACUUUGAAGCUCGCUCGAGCCGUGGAGGAAGUCAAGAAGCUUCUUGUGCCCCAGGCUGACGGCGAGGAUGAGCUUAAGAAGAGACAGCUGAUGGAACUCGCCAUUAUCAACGGCACUUACCGGGAUUCGAACACGAAAGUUGCCGCCGCGGCAGCUUGCGACGAGGAGUGGCGGCGAGUAGCCGCAGCCGCGGCGGAGACGCAACGUCUGCUGCCUGGCCUGGCGACGCCGAUGCGGACGCCGAGCGCUCCCCUGGGCGCACCGUUGAUCCUCUCGCCGCGAAUAUCCGUGCCGACCACCGCCGCGUCCCUGCUGAACGGAUCCGGUCCGCCCGGCUCGCUCCUGUCGGCCGGCGAUCCGCACGGACUCAUCUACACGCCUUACACGGACUACGCCAACUACGCUGCCCUGGCCGCGUCGCCGUUGCUCGAAUACGCCACUGCGGAUCAUUCUGGCGCAGCGGCAGCCGCCGCCAAGCAGCGUAGACACCUGGGUCAGAUCCGCGAGCACCCUUAUCAAAGGGCCGGCGCUCUCUCGUGAACACACAGAGACAGUGCGGUACACAGAGAGAAAGAGAGAGAGAGAGAAAGCGAGAAAGAGAGAGAAAAAGAGAGAGAAAGAAAACGCACUAUUCUCGCGCCAUCGCGGAAAGGCUUGGAGUGCUAACAAUGGAUAUCCACUCGCCCCGUGCUAACACCUGGACUCUGGAACAGCAUCCCGCGUUCGAUCGGUUCACCAACCAGCCGACCACCUUCGCCGUCCGUCCGCGUCACCAGCCCCGUUCGUCAAGCUUAUCCAUCAUCCUGUAUCCUCUUAAUGUUCAGAAACGUACAUAAUCAUACCGCGACCGACGUCGACGUCGACGUCGACGGCGACGAUGACGAGUGCACACGCGGAUUCAGACGCGGAGUUUGUCUCUCGCAAGGAGAAAACGCACACGGAUAUGGGGAUGAAUAUUAUCGCGAGAUUCGAUUCGAUUAUCAUCUCAUGCUGAAUGAUAAAAUCAUAAAAUGUGAUCGACGAUCAAGGAGCGGAACUCGACGAAUGGCACGGCCAACGUCAAAACGCGAUACGAUGAAUCUCGUUCCCGUUUCGUGAGAAUCCGCGUGCGCGCCUCUCUCGUCGUCGCGGAAACGCGGAGCUAUUCCGGAGUUACUUUGGACGCGAACGUACAACGUUAGUUGCGUUAAAUAGUCGUAGCGCAGAUAGUUUAUCCCCGUUCCCACCCGCCACCCUCCACAGCGGGGGAGAAGAAACGAGGGGCCGGGAGGGAUCGGGAAUAUCGCCGCAGGUAUUUGAACUUUAUUUUUCUCUCUCUUCUCGCGACGACGACGACGACGACGACGAAACGUGUCGCUCGCGCUUUUCCCAGUACUUACGACCGCGCCCUGGCACCUUCGCUCUCAACUACCCGGAGCGCGGGAAUACGACGUUUAAAUGACACGCGACUUAAGCAUCGCGACGACGCAUGCACGUCGGACACGGGGACUCGUCGUGGCGAGCGCGAAGAAUCGCCGCUUCUCGCUUUCCGAGAGGAUCGCAGUGCGUUGCGACGUGCCUCCUCUGCGCGUGUCGUCUCUUUCUCUUUUCUCGCGUCGCGAGACACGUCGCGUCUCGGGGAUACCGCCGAAAUUCUGUGCGACUCUCUCGCAUAAAUGUGCCUUAUGUAACGUUAAGCGGUAGCCAGCGGCCAGACCGCGCCGCGACACCCAUUCGUUCGUUAGAUAAAGUUUCGUUAUAGGCCGUAGCCUACGUAUAACAGAUAGCGUUAGAACUGUGCAAUCAAAAUUUACUUUCUCGAUACUGCAUGCCCACGGAAAGAGAAGGGUAGGAGAGAACGCCGAACUGCAGGCUGCUCCCCUAACGAUCUCUUUCGUUACGUUGCGAGAGCUGCGAGGACUGUUAAGAUAUACGUGUAUCUAGAAUCGCGCGAAUCUAUCCCGAGGAAAAGGCUUUAAAGGUUCAUCCCGUCGGUCGAAUGGCGGCUCUACGAGAGCUUAUAUAUCGUGUAUAUAUCGCCCCAGCCACAAGUAUUAAAAGGAGCGUUGUUCGCGGAAGGUAUUUUAGAGCGUCGAUAUGUGCAAUACGUGUGUGAGCAGGAAAAGAACGAGGCGCUUCGUUCGUGCCUUGCCGAGAGCCUUGUUACAUCGAUUGCGAAGAUCUGCGACUCAAACCGCAGGAUUAUCGAACACGAUACGCAUAUGUUUACACGCGUCUGUCGAUACGUUGAUGCCUCGGCGAGCAGAACGACGCCGACGGUGCAAAGGCAAGCUGUUACCACUUUUCGCGUCGCGGAUAAAGAUAUUUCUGGGAUAUUAUAAUCACACGCAUACACGUAUAUGCGAGCACCGUCACGCGUGCAAGAGCGUCCGUGAGCGUGUGAGUAAUUUACUUGACAUCGUAUCAAUUGUCUCACUCUUUGGUCUGCCAUAUGUUUUUCACCGUUUAUGUAUAUUGUCUGAUAACGAUAUGCAUAGCGCAACGAUCAAAGACGCUUUCGAACGGUCUCUUGCACGGUGACUUGUGUGUGUCGAGCGCGUUAUACUCGUUCUUUCCACAGGUACUUUCGAAUUUUCGUCCAAAUACCGUUUUCUUCUCCGCUAGAUACCGAUAGCUUGGUCCUUCGUGUAUAUAUACAUAUACAAGUGUUAUAUAUAAAAGUAUAUACACAAAUACAGUUUAACGAAUUAAGAGUGAUCUGAAAUCUACUUAAGUUCACACGUAAAUAUUCGAUAUACAUACAUACAUACACGUACACAUAUAUAUUAAUAUAUACAUAUAUGUGUAUAUGUAUAUAUAUUUUAUUAUUGUACGUAAAUAAUUGAUGAUGAGAUCUAACGGAAUCUUUUCAAUAUCGUUGUCUUCUAGUAAAUGCGAUUAUAUAUGUACACACGAGUUGUUUGCGCACUCGCGAGCGCGCAGUCGAUUAUAUACGGGACGAAUAUGUAUACUCUUUAUGUAUAUGCUGUCUAAUAUAUGUAUGCGCGUAAAAACGUAAAUUAUUAUACAUGUAUACAUAAUGUAUUAUACAUACGCACUGACUCAGUUAAACAUGCGGACGGUACGAAUAAAUGUGCUCGCAGUUCACUUUUGCGUCAAACGAGAGUUUGCAAUUGUCCAGAAAUCGGAAAUUAUGUUUACGAGGGGUAGGUUUAUUUCAGUUUGGGGAGACGGGCAUGUGCCCGCGCCAAGAUAAUGCAUCGUUCGUUUCGGAAAGGAACAAAAAAAAAUAUCGCUUGAAAUUAUCAUCGCGCAAAAGUAAGUGCCGACACGAUUUACUUGUAUCCCUGUGUGUGUGUUAUCAUAUUUAUAUAUGUACACAGAUAAGUUGCAUAAAGAAUCAUGUAUGUGCAAGCAAUCUUGUUAGAUUUUACAGCAUGUGAAUUUACAUUUAUUAUUCUAUAUAGUUGUAUGGUUUUUUUGCCGAAAUUUAUUAUACAUAUGAUAAUUUUUUAGUUUCAUAUUUUAUUUUAACGUUGAUACGUGCAGGAUAUACGUGGCAAUAUUAAUGUGUAAGCGAAAAAUGCGCAAAAGCCGACUCUGAUUUCUGAAAUCUCGGAAAGAUCUGAUUACGAAUUCAUAGUAUAACACUGUACGCUACUUAUGGAAAAUUUACGACUUGCAAUGUGAAAGUGCAAAUACAAUAAAAUAGUUUAUACUGAGACAUGUAUAAAUACCAUGAACGGCAAUAAAAAUAUUUUUUCAA